AUUGAACGCUGGCGGUAGGCCUAACACAUGCAAGUCGAACGGCUGCACAGUACUUGCUUCCUCUUUCAGCUGCCGAGUGGUGGGCGGUUCAUGAGUACCUCCCUGUUUAUUUUGUCUUAGGUCCUAACGUGGGGGAUCAUACGCUAUUACCCCUUAGGACCUACGGGUGGGAUCUUGGGAUCUUCCGCUCUUACGUGAUCCGAUGUCGGAUUAGCUAGUUGGUGGGGUAAAGGCCUACCAAGGCGACGAUCCGUAGCUGGUCUGAGAGGAUGAUCAGCCACACUGGAACUGAGACACGGUCCAGACUCCUACGGGAGGCAGCAGUGGGGAAUAUUGGACAAUGGGCGCAAGCCUGAUCCAGCCAUACCGCGUGGGUGAAGAAGGUCUUCGGAUUGUAAAGCACUUUUGGUGGGGAAGAAAAGCAGCAAGUUAAUACCCCGCUGUUCUGACGGUACCAAAAGAAUAAGCACCGGCUAACUUCGUG
This 484-nucleotide ribosomal RNA is filed under the name uncultured bacterium. Its description in RNAcentral is "partial 16S ribosomal RNA". It matches the Rfam family "Bacterial small subunit ribosomal RNA", at positions 30 to 507 of the family's 1533-position model. The record is from RNAcentral.